UGGAGCGGUGGAAUGUGUAGAUAUGCUUAAGAACACCAGAGGCGAAGGCGGAAACUAGACCAUAAAUGACGCUUAGGCUUGAAAGUGUGGGGAGCAAAUGGGAUUAGAUACCCCAGUAGUCCACACCGUAAACGAUGGGUAUUAGAUAUUAGGGCUUUAGCUUUAGUGUUGUAGCUUACGCGUUAAAUACCCCGCCUGGGUAGUACAUAUGCAAAUAUGAAACUCAAAGGAAUUGACGGGGACCUGAACAAGUGGUGGAGCAUGUUGCUUAAUUCGAUAAUACACGAAAAACCUUACCAAGGUUUGACAUCCCUCGCAAAGCUAUAGAAAUAUAGUAGAGGUUAUCGAGGUGACAGGUGGUGCAUGGCUGUCGUCAGCUCGUGUCUUGAGAUGUUUGGUUAAGUCCCGCAACGAGCGCAACCCCACUCUUUAGUUACUUGUCUAAAGAGACUGCACAGUAAUGUAGAGGAAGGAUGGGAUCACGUCAAGUCAUCAUGCCCCUUAUGCCUUGGGCUGCAAACGUGCUACAAUGGCGAACACAAUGUGUGCAAACCAGCGAUGGUAAGCUAAUCAC
This 574-nucleotide ribosomal RNA is filed under the name Mycoplasma haemocanis. RNAcentral describes it as "bacterial SSU rRNA". It matches the Rfam family "Bacterial small subunit ribosomal RNA", at positions 674 to 1275 of the family's 1533-position model. Lineage: Bacteria; Bacillati; Mycoplasmatota; Mollicutes; Mycoplasmatales; Mycoplasmataceae. The record is from RNAcentral.